GCAUCGAUGGCGACGACGCCGCUGCGCUCGAGGUGCAGCGGGUCGAGUUCGACGGUCACCACCUCGUCGAUGUC
RNAcentral lists this transfer RNA (74 nucleotides) under Candidatus Accumulibacter sp. SK-11. Its description in RNAcentral is "tRNA-Ser". The record is from RNAcentral. Lineage: Bacteria; Pseudomonadati; Pseudomonadota; Betaproteobacteria.